RNAcentral lists this long non-coding RNA (296 nucleotides) under Phoenix dactylifera (date palm). Its description in RNAcentral is "long non-coding RNA (PDAC_LNC019913)". Lineage: Eukaryota; Viridiplantae; Streptophyta; Magnoliopsida; Arecales; Arecaceae. The record is from RNAcentral.
GAUCGUCCUCUCUGCCUGCACGACGGCGGCAGAGGUGGAGAAGGCGGACUGCGGAGCCGGCGGACGGAUUCCGGAGCGAAGAGAUCGGAUCAGAAGCAUCCUCUACCUCGAUCUUUGUCUAUCUCGCGCGCGAGAGAGCUCUGGAACGGAACCGGAAGAAGCCGUGGGUUUCUAGGAUUUAGAAUUUAUGCCCGCGAUCGUCAGACGAGGGGAAGACGAUAAAAAGGGUGAGAAGUUGAAGGCGACGAAACCGAGAGGGAAUUGGAAGUAGGUGGCGACGGCGGGGUAGCUGUAGG